Long non-coding RNA from Rhineura floridana, 1612 nucleotides. RefSeq lists it as uncharacterized. NCBI's taxonomy places the organism in Eukaryota, Metazoa, Chordata, Lepidosauria, Squamata, Rhineuridae. The transcript is spliced from 3 exons. The record is from RefSeq and is a predicted model, not a curated record.
CGCUGACUCAUGGCUACUGUUCUCCAGAGCCACAGCUGCUUUUGUCUGUUCUUUAGGUAUCUGCAUUCCUUCCUUGGGGUCUCGUAGCAGAAGCUGAUAACCAUCAGAAGGAGUAUCAGGUCGCGACGAAACCGGCCGUCUUUCCCAGUCAACACAUAAGAACAUCAACUAAAACUGUCAGGAAAGAAAAAAAGAGAGAAGAACCAGAAACUUCAAUCAAUGUCUCAUCCCUGAAAACGAUGACACUGUCAAACUGCUGUCAUUAAAGCUAACUAACCAUAUUAAACGAAUAUUAAAAUAUAGGUUUCUUUGCAUAACAUAAUGAGCGAAAGUGCUUUUAAGUUUUUCCAUUCGCUUUGAGGUGUAGGUGGCAUUUUCAUUCCAAAACUUUGAAGUCAGACAAAAUGUACAGGUAGAGGGUACUAGAUCAAAUAAUAAUCAACUUCAAAAAGCAUUUUGGCUGUUAUAUAUCCCAGGGCUAAUUUCCUCUAGACAUUUUAAAUGUAAAUGUCUAAACUCAUUUAAAAAUUGUAAAUUGGUCUAGGUUCAAUCAAAACCCAUCCUGACACAGAGCAGAGAGAGUGGGCUAAUUGUGUUUUGUUUGUCAAAUGAAUUCCAUUUGGAAAGCAAUGAAACCUCCAAGCUAAUUCUUUUAAGGUGAGCUAGUAGUUGUAUUAUCAGUUAAAUGCAGUAAAAUGGAUAAUCACAUGAUGAUAAUGAAAACUGAGUCUAUUUUAACAUUCAGGCUUAGUCUGCCACAGGGCAUAUAGUGAUGGAACUUAAGUACUGUAAUGUUCCAUUGGGCACAAUGGCACCAAGUUUGCUCUUUAGCUGCACAGACACUUUCUUUGCAUUUUAAAAAACUUUAUCAAAGCACUGUGGCAAGGUAGAAAAUGUCAAAGUGAAAUGCACUGUAGGCAAAUUGUGAUUUCAUUAAGUUUAAAUUUAUUGCUUUUGACUGAUGUAUUACCAUGCUUGUUAAGAACUAGUAAUUUAGAAUAUCUGCCUGCCUAGUUAAAUAGCUUUGUCUCCUCACAUAACACUUUAUACACACUUUGAAAGACCACCAUAAUUCAAAGAAAGUGGGGGCCUAUUUUAUUUUUCUAAAAAAAUAAUUUCAAACAUUCAACAAUAGCUGACCUUAUGGACAGAUAGUCUUGCAUGCUGAUCCCGGGUGUUUUGUUAGUUUCCUUGGUAGUUAAUUGCAGCCUUAAUAUAUGUUAUUGUUGCUACUCUUGGAUAUCUACGUCUAGUUCAUUAACAAUGGGAACUUAGGAACAGCGUAAUGCUUCUACAUGGUUUGUUGCUUCAUUGAGCAUGUAUAUUGGAUGUAACUGGGAGCUGUUAAGAAUGGAGCUGUCCAAAAUUUCUGUGUUCAUUUGGAACACAUUUAGUUGGUGAAUGUGAGCUCUCCAAAUGAGUAUUUAUUGAACAAAAUGGCUGUACAUACUGAGCAAAAUGGCUGGCUGACCAUUCGUGAAACAUAUUAAAUAAUUACAAUUGAUUAAUUCUGUGUUGAGGAUGUUCUAGGCCAUAAUUCUAGGGCAUACUUUUUUAAAAAAGGAGAUAGAAAUAUAAUUUGUGAACUGAAAAAUAAACCUAGGUAAUCAAU